This 524-nucleotide ribosomal RNA is filed under the name uncultured bacterium. RNAcentral's name for it is "bacterial SSU rRNA". It matches the Rfam family "Bacterial small subunit ribosomal RNA", at positions 10 to 523 of the family's 1533-position model. The record is from RNAcentral.
AGUUUGAUCCUGGCUCAGAUUGAACGCUGGCGGCAGGCCUAACACAUGCAAGUCGAACGGUAACAGAGAGUAGCUUGCUACUUUGCUGACGAGUGGCGGACGGGUGAGUAAUGUCUGGGGAUCUGCCUGAUGGAGGGGGAUAACUACUGGAAACGGUAGCUAAUACCGCAUAAUGUCGCAAGACCAAAGCGGGGGACUUUCGGGCCUCGCACCAUCAGAUGAACCCAGAUGGGAUUAGCUAGUAGGUAAGGUAAUGGCUUACCUAGGCGACGAUCCCUAGCUGGUCUGAGAGGAUGACCAGCCACACUGGAACUGAGACACGGUCCAGACCCCUACGGGAGGCAGCAGUGGGGAAUAUUGCACAAUGGGCGCAAGCUUGAUGCAGCCAUGCCGCGUGUAUGAAGAAGGCCUUCGGGUUGUAAAGUACUUUCAGUCAGGAGGAAGGGUGUGAAAUUAAUACUUUCAUGCAUUGACGUUACUGACAGAAGAAGCACCGGCUAACUCCGUGCCAGCAGCCGCGGUAA